UACGUGUCAGAAGUGGUGAUUGGAGCCCC
RNAcentral lists this non-coding RNA (29 nucleotides) under Homo sapiens (human). Lineage: Eukaryota; Metazoa; Chordata; Mammalia; Primates; Hominidae. The record is from RNAcentral.